AUUGAACGCUGGCGGCAUGCCUUACACAUGCAAGUCGAACGGCAGCACGGGUGCUUGCACCUGGUGGCGAGUGGCGAACGGGUGAGUAAUACAUCGGAACGUACCUUAUCGUGGGGGAUAACGCAGCGAAAGCUGUGCUAAUACCGCAUACGCCCUGAGGGGGGAAAGCGGGGGAUCGAAAGACCUCGCGCGAUUAGAGCGGCCGAUGCCUGAUUAGCUUGUUGGUGGGGUAAAAGCCCACCAAGGCGACGAUCAGUAGCUGGUCUGAGAGGACGGUCAGCCACACUGGGACUGAGACACGGCCCAGACUCCUACGGGAGGCAGCAGUGGGGAAUUUUGGACAAUGGGGGCAACCCUGAUCCAGCAAUGCCGCGUGAGUGAAGAAGGCCUUCGGGUUGUAAAGCUCUUUUGUCAGGGAAGAAACACCGGCUCUAACACAGUCCGGGAAUGACGGUACCUGAAGAAUAAGCACCGGCUAACUACGUGCCAGCCGCCGC
This 497-nucleotide ribosomal RNA is filed under the name uncultured bacterium. RNAcentral describes it as "bacterial SSU rRNA". It matches the Rfam family "Bacterial small subunit ribosomal RNA", at positions 29 to 518 of the family's 1533-position model. The record is from RNAcentral.